Abrus precatorius (Indian licorice) is the source of this 3277-nucleotide RNA transcript. It is a transcript of the gene named cryptochrome-1-like, with no coding region annotated. The record is from RefSeq and is a predicted model, not a curated record. The transcript has 8 exons. Lineage: Eukaryota; Viridiplantae; Streptophyta; Magnoliopsida; Fabales; Fabaceae.
AUUAAAUUUGAUUUGGUCCUUGCUUGACUCUUCAGCUCAAACUUCAAGAUGGGUGGGUGAAUAUUGAAUAUCUAGCUCAUAGGUAGUGUUUGAUACGUUCCUCGAUAAGUUCGAGAUAAGUCAUGUUUUUUUUGUCUCUAAGGAUUUGUUUCAGUUAUAGUAUUGAAUAUCUAGCUCAUGGGUAGUGUUCGAGGAUAUACAGUUUGUUUUGUUGUUUUUGAGGUGAAAGGUGCCGCGAAGCAGAGAUAUCCUAUUUAUAUGUGCUUUUCAUUGGUGGGGUUUAGAUUGAUGAGUGAGACAUGUGGGGAACGGUUUCUGUGAGUUGGAUUUAGGUUGCAUACCAUUUAGAAAACAAAGGGGCAGAAAAGUUGGAAUUGGAGGUUCAGAUAAGAUAAUCUACUUGAUGGUCUCAUAUCUAACAAUUACGUCUAUUUUGACAGUGAUUUGAGGCUAUUUGGUGCAGCCAUAAACAGCUUUAUGUUCUUGACAAAUUCCACCUCCAAAAAUUUGGUAGCCUGUGCCAGGGUCUUCUGCUUCUUUGCAGUGUGUUGGUUGAAUCUUUUAUAGGAAAACAAUAAAAUUUUGAAGGUGGGAACUGUGCUUGUUUGUGUGUAAAAGGAAGCUUGAGUAGAACCUACUAAUAGCAUGAUGAGUGUUAAGGCUUUGGCCGUGGCAUGAGAAUUCUCAACUAUCCUAUGGGUAUAAACAAGACUAUUGUUUGGUUUAGGAGAGACCUUAGAAUUGAAGACAAUCCUGCAUUAGCCGCUGCUGCCAAGGAUGGUUCUGUUUUCCCUGUCUAUAUUUGGUGCCCCAAAGAGGAAGGACAGUUUCAUCCGGGAAGGGUGUCAAGGUGGUGGCUGAAGCAUUCUCUUGCUCAGUUGGAUAAGUCACUGAAAUCACUUGGAGCUGAACUUGUGCUCAUCAAAACUAACAGUACUCUCGAGGCGCUUUUGGAAUGUAUAAAUGCAAUCCAAGCAAAAAAAGUAGUGUUUAACCAUCUGUAUGAUCCAGUUUCACUUGUUCGUGAUCACGACAUCAAAGUAAAACUAGUGGAACUUGGUGUAUCUGUUCAAAGCUACAAUGGGGAUCUGUUGUUUGAGCCAUGGGAUAUAUAUGAUGAGAGCGGACAUGCUUUUACAACAUUUGAUCCGUUUUGGAACAGAUGCCUGCAUAUUCAAAUGAAACAUUUUUCACCUAUUCCUCCAUGUCAAUUAAUUCUAGCUGAGGGAAAAGUUGUGAAAUAUUCAAUUGAACAAUUAGGCCUUGAAGAUGAAUCAGAAAAGGCGAGCAAUGCAUUAUUAGGAAGGGCAUGGUGUCCAGGUUGGAACAAAAGCGAUAAGGCUUUAACAGAAUUUGUUGAACACCACCUACUUCACUACUCCAAGAAUAGGCUAACAGUUGGUGGUGACUCCACCUCACUCUUGUCUCCAUAUAUUCAUUUUGGAGAAUUGAGUGUGAGGAAGGUUUUUCAGUUGGCACGUUCAAAGCAGAUAUUAUGGGCAAAUGAAGGAAACAGUGGUGGUGAAGAGAGUGCAACACUUUUUCUGAGGGCCAUUGGACUUAGAGAGUACUCACGCUAUCUUUGUUUCAAUUUCCCAUUCACCUUAGAGAGGCCACUGCUUGGGAACUUGAGAUAUUUUCCAUGGAAUGAUGAUGCUACCAACUUCAAGGCUUGGAGACUGGGUAGGACUGGGUAUCCUUUGGUUGAUGCAGGAAUGAGAGAACUAUGGGCAACAGGAUGGAUACACAACAAAAUAAGAGUCAUAGUUUCUAGUUUUGCUGUUAAAAUGUUGCUUAUACCAUGGAAAUGGGGAAUGAAAUAUUUCUGGGACACACUUUUGGAUGCAGAUCUUGAAAGUGACAUCUUGGGUUGGCAGUAUAUCUCAGGAUGCUUACCUGAUGGCCACAAGCUUGAGCGCUUGGACGAUCCUCAGAUUCAAGGGGUCAAAUUUGAUCCAGAAGGUGAGUAUGUACGUCAAUGGAUACCUGAGUUGGCAAGAAUGCCAGCUGAGUGGAUUCAUCAUCCUUGGGAUGCACCACUGGCCGUGCUAAGAGCAUCAGGAGUAGAGCUGGGUCAGAACUAUCCCAAACCAGUCGUUGAAAUUGAUUCAGCAAGAGAACAACUGACUGAAGCCAUAUUCAAGAUGUGGGAAUAUGAGGUAACUGCAAAAGCAUCUUGCUCAGAAGUGAGACAUGAAGUUGUUGAUGAAAGUGAAAGUUUGGCCGUUCCAAAAGUUUUCUUGAAGGACAAAGCUCCUCGUGCCACUUCUUCAUCCACUGAUCAGAAGGUUCCAACACUUCAGAAUCCACAGAGUGAUCCUCCUAACAGGAAGAGAUUAAAAUGUAUGGCAGAAGUGGAGCAGAAGCAGGACAAUUCACGGCAUCUUAGCAUGGAUACUGGAGUGUCAAGCAUUGAUCAAGAUGGGUCCUCCACGGCUGAAUCUUCUUGCAAGAUCCAGAGUUCAAGCACUUAUUCAUUUUCUGUCCCAUAACAGUGUUCCUCAUCUAAUAUAAAGCGGUCAUGGCAAGAUCAGAUUGACAUGGAGCAUAGUUCAAGCAAAGAUGUAUUAUAAUACUUUUAAAAGUGAGUAUAGAGGAUUAUUAGAAGGAUUCAGAUGCAAGAGGUCUCACUCAAGCAAGACAAAUCUCGCUCAAGUAAGAUUGAGUAGCUAGAAAUACUAUUUUUUAGGGCAAUCUCGCUCAAACAAGAUAGGAUAAAUUCAGCUCAAUUGUCACCUUGCCUAAGCGAAAGUGAUCUCGCUCAGGUGAGGACUCACAGGAAAACAUCUUGCUCUCUGGACGUCAUCUCGCCCAGGCGAGAUGGAGCUCGCUUAAGCGAGCAUAUCAAGAAAUGUUGGGCGAGACCACUGUUUGCAUAUCUUGCUCAGGUGAGAUAUUCGUCACUCAAGCAAGAGCAUGCGAGGCUGAUGGAGACAAGCCUUAAAAACUUCAAAACUACUCAGAAUCAGAGCUCGAACUUUGACUAAACGGAAACAUUGAACGACCUUGGUGCGUGAACCAUCUUUUUCACCCUUUUCUACACUAAACUCGUCUUUGAGGAAAUCGAGACGUCUAGUACCAGGCUCACAAUGCAUGGAUGGAUGAGAACUGCUAUAGGACCUAGUUAUUUUGAGUUAUGUAAUAGAUAUUUUCAGUUCUAUAACAUUCUUUUGAAACAGUUGUAAAAGUACUAUUUCUUUUGUUGCUGAUGAAAAUUUUAUAAUCUUUGUUUUUCUAAAGUACUUACGAAUUAAUGAAAUUUUACUCUAUGAACCUU